GUAGCCGUAGUUCAGCUGGAAGAACGCUUCCCUGCGAAGGAAGAGGUCAUUGGUUCGAAUCCAAUCGGUUACACCA
This 76-nucleotide transfer RNA is filed under the name Candidatus Altimarinota bacterium. RNAcentral's name for it is "tRNA-Arg". It matches the Rfam family "tRNA". From Rfam's summary of the family: Transfer RNA (tRNA) molecules are approximately 80 nucleotides in length. Their secondary structure includes four short double-helical elements and three loops (D, anti-codon, and T loops). RNAcentral also lists the same sequence under 1 other name. Lineage: Bacteria; Candidatus Altimarinota. The record is from RNAcentral.